This is a long non-coding RNA of Pseudopodoces humilis (Tibetan ground-tit), 1130 nucleotides long. RefSeq lists it as uncharacterized. Lineage: Eukaryota; Metazoa; Chordata; Aves; Passeriformes; Paridae. The record is from RefSeq and is a predicted model, not a curated record.
CUGACUUGGAAACUUGCUGCACACCUGAAAUCUGAAGCACAUUCUGGGAGGCAUCAUUCUGGUUCUGUGGACUACACUCACAACCUGUCCAGUGAACACAAAGGACAGGCAGGAUGAAAUUCUCCAGUGAGCCUGGCUGGAGCUGAGCUCAGUGGGCUGACAGACAGAAUAAUGCUGUACCUGGCCACGAAGAAAGCUUCCUGACCAGCACACCAGGAAUCAAAUGAGGCAAUUUAACUGAAAGAGCCCACUCUGCAGGAGACAGUAAAAGCUGCCACGUACAAGAUUUAAGAGAACUGAGGAAGAAGAGGAACUACUACUUUGACACCAGGCUUGAGAAGAUGGAUUCUGUCCAGGAAAUCACACUACAUCAGCUUAUGGGGAAGGACGUAAAAUAACACUGAGGAGAAAGGACAAAGGGGGACCACAACAAUGCAACAACCACCUGGUGAAACAGCACAUAGAUGAAAGCACGUGUUAAUUUGGAUAGAAUUAUGGUCUUUUCAUUUAUUAAAAGAGUCACUUCUGCUCCCUUGGAUUAUUGUGAAUGAAAGAUCAGGACAAAACUCAUAUAUUCUUCCCCUACUCACUAAAUAAAGUAAAAAUGCAGAUAUCUUGCUGAGAACCAGCAAAGCCCCACUGCAGCACCAGUCAGAGACUGUAAAAAGAAGUUACACAGAAACUGGCUCUUUACACACCUCUUAAUUCUGGAUAUUGUGCAUUGAACAGUUUCUGGUUUUUAUACCUAUCCACUUUGCUGUUUGUACAGGUGUUUAUGCACCAGGGAAGCAGGUUUUAAAACAGGAAAACAGGUACAAAACCAUAAACACUAACUAACAGAAAGUGUACAAGAGAUGGACUUGUUCCAAGUGGCUGUUGUUCCUUUAAAAUAUUGGUGGGAAGGAUAAGGAGCUUUGGGAUUUGAGCAAAGUUAGACUGUCCUGCUCCAGCUAAUAACAAACUUUAUUGUAGUUCUCAUCUCAGUGACAAUAAAUCCACUCAAUUUCUUAGCUUAAACAGCACUUUAUGGGAUCCAAUGUUUAUAUGCCCUUCAAACCUAGGAACUAAAAGAAAUGCAGUGAAAUAUAGGACUGAUCAAAUAUUAUGUUUUAUACACACACACACAUGCU